AACGAACGCUGGCGGCAUGCCUAACACAUGCAAGUCGAACGAGACCUUCGGGUCUAGUGGCGCACGGGUGCGUAACGCGUGGGAACCUGCCCUUAGGUUCGGAAUAACUCCCCGAAAGGGGUGCUAAUACCGGAUAAUGUCUUCGGACCAAAGAUUUAUCGCCUUUGGAUGGGCCCGCGUUGGAUUAGCUAGUUGGUAGGGUAAAAGCCUACCAAGGCGACGAUCCAUAGCUGGUCUGAGAGGAUGAUCAGCCACACUGGGACUGGGACACGGCCCAGACUCCUACGGGAGGGAGCAGUGGGGAAUAUUGGACAAUGGGCGAAAGCCUGAUCCAGCAAUGCCGCGUGAGUGAUGAAGGCCUUAGGGUUGUAAAGCUCUUUUACCCGGGAUGAUAAUGACAGUACCGGGAGAAUAAGCACCGGCUAACUCCGUG
RNAcentral lists this ribosomal RNA (433 nucleotides) under uncultured bacterium. RNAcentral's name for it is "partial 16S ribosomal RNA". It matches the Rfam family "Bacterial small subunit ribosomal RNA", at positions 29 to 507 of the family's 1533-position model. The record is from RNAcentral.